AGUCGAACGGUAACGCGGGGCAACCUGGCGACGAGUGGCGAACGGGUGAGUAAUGCAUCGGAACGUGCCCAGUAGUGGGGGAUAGCCCGGCGAAAGCCGGAUUAAUACCGCAUACGACCUACGGGUGAAAGGGGGGGAUCGCAAGACCUCUCGCUAUUGGAGCGGCCGAUGUCAGAUUAGGUAGUUGGUGGGGUAAAGGCCUACCAAGCCGACGAUCUGUAGCUGGUCUGAGAGGACGACCAGCCACACUGGGACUGAGACACGGCCCAGACUCCUACGGGAGGCAGCAGUGGGGAAUUUUGGACAAUGGGCGCAAGCCUGAUCCAGCCAUGCCGCGUGCGGGAAGAAGGCCUUCGGGUUGUAAACCGCUUUUGUCAGGGAAGAAAUCUUCUGGGUUAAUACCUCGGGAGGAUGACGGUACCUGAAGAAUAAGCACCGGCUAACUACGUGCCAGCAGCCGCGGUAAUACGUAGGGUGCAAGCGUUAAUCGGAAUUACUGGGCGUAAAGCGUGCGCAGGCGGUUUUGUAAGACAGAGGUGAAAUCCCCGGGCUCAACCUGGGAACUGCCUUUGUGACUGCAAGGCUUGAGUGCGGCAGAGGGGGAUGGAAUUCCGCGUGUAGCAGUGAAAUGCGUAGAUAUGCGGAGGAACACCGAUGGCGAAGGCAAUCCCCUGG
Molecule: ribosomal RNA, 675 nt
Filed under: uncultured Ideonella sp.
Lineage: Bacteria; Pseudomonadati; Pseudomonadota; Betaproteobacteria; Burkholderiales; Sphaerotilaceae
Description: bacterial SSU rRNA
Rfam family: Bacterial small subunit ribosomal RNA
Source: RNAcentral